GAAGCGGCAACAGCUCAAAUUUGAAAUCUGGCGCAAGCCCGAGUUGUAAUUUGUAGAGGAUGCUUCAGGGCAGCGGCCGGUCUAAGUUCCUUGGAACAGGACGUCAUAGAGGGUGAGAAUCCCGUAUGCGACCGGUUGGCACCCGUCACGUAGCUCCUUCGACGAGUCGAGUUGUUUGGGAAUGCAGCUCUAAAUGGGAGGUAAAUUUCUUCUAAAGCUAAAUACCGGCCAGAGACCGAUAGCGCACAAGUAGAGUGAUCGAAAGAUGAAAAGCACUUUGGAAAGAGAGUUAAAAAGCACGUGAAAUUGUUGAAAGGGAAGCGCAUGCAACCAGACUUGUCGGCGGUGUUCCGCCGGUCUUCUGACCGGUCUACUCGCCGCCGGCAGGCCAGCAUCAUCUGGGCGCGCCGGACAAAGGCGUGGGGAAUGUGGCUCCUCGGAGUGUUAUAGCCCCGCGCACAAUACGGCGCCGCUCGGGUGAGGUCCGCGCUUCGGCUAGGAUGCUGGCGUAAUGGUUGUAUGCGGCCCGUCUUGAAACACGGACCAAGGAGUCUAACAUCUAUGCGAGUGUUCGGGUGUCAAACCCCUACGCGUAAUGAAAGUGAACGGAGGUGGGAAGCGCAAGCUGCACCAUCGACCGAUCCUGAUGUCUUCGGAUGGAUUUGAGUAAGAGCAUAGCUGUUGGGACCCGAAAGAUGGUGAACUAUGCCUGAAUAGGGUGAAGCCAGAGGAAACUCUGGUGGA
This 744-nucleotide ribosomal RNA is filed under the name Teratosphaeria considenianae. Its description in RNAcentral is "eukaryotic LSU rRNA". It matches the Rfam family "Eukaryotic large subunit ribosomal RNA", at positions 95 to 871 of the family's 3401-position model. The record is from RNAcentral. Lineage: Eukaryota; Fungi; Ascomycota; Dothideomycetes; Mycosphaerellales; Teratosphaeriaceae.